RNAcentral lists this ribosomal RNA (2920 nucleotides) under Streptococcus pneumoniae. RNAcentral describes it as "bacterial LSU rRNA". It matches the Rfam family "Bacterial large subunit ribosomal RNA". Lineage: Bacteria; Bacillati; Bacillota; Bacilli; Lactobacillales; Streptococcaceae. The record is from RNAcentral.
UUAAGUUAUUAAGGGCGCACGGUGGAUGCCUUGGCACUAGAAGCCGAUGAAGGACGUUACUAACGACGAUAUGCUUUGGGGAGCUGUAAGUAAGCGUUGAUCCAGAGAUUUCCGAAUGGGGAAACCCAGCAUGAGUUAUGUCAUGUUAUCGAUAUGUGAAUACAUAGCAUAUCAGAAGGCAGACCCGGAGAACUGAAACAUCUUAGUACCCGGAGGAAGAGAAAGAAAAAUCGAUUCCCUGAGUAGCGGCGAGCGAAACGGGAAGAGCCCAAACCAACAAGCUUGCUUGUUGGGGUUGUAGGACACUCUAUACGGAGUUACAAAAGUAUAUAUUAGACGAAUCAUCUGGAAAGUUGAAUCAAAGAAGGUAAUAAUCCUGUAGUCGAAAAUAUAUACUCUCUUGAGUGGAUCCUGAGUACGACGGAGCACGUGAAAUUCCGUCGGAAUCUGGGAGGACCAUCUCCUAAGGCUAAAUACUCUCUAGUGACCGAUAGUGAACCAGUACCGUGAGGGAAAGGUGAAAAGUACCCCGGAAGGGGAGUGAAAGAGAACUUGAAACCGUGUGCUUACAAGUAGUCAGAGCCCGUUAAUGGGUGAUGGCGUGCCUUUUGUAGAAUGAACCGGCGAGUUACGAUUUGAUGCAAGGUUAAGCAGCUAAUGUGGAGCCGUAGCGAAAGCGAGUCUGAAUAGGGCGUUUAGUAUUUGGUCGUAGACCCGAAACCAGGUGAUCUACCCUUGGUCAGGUUGAAGUUCAGGUAACACUGAAUGGAGGACCGAACCGACUUACGUUGAAAAGUGAGCGGAUGAACUGAGGGUAGCGGAGAAAUUCCAAUCGAACUUGGAGAUAGCUGGUUCUCUCCGAAAUAGCUUUAGGGCUAGCCUCAAGUGAUGAUUAUUGGAGGUAGAGCACUGUUUGGACGAGGGGCCCUUCUCGGGUUACCGAAUUCAGACAAACUCCGAAUGCCAAUCAAUUUAACUUGGGAGUCAGAACAUGGGUGAUAAGGUCCGUGUUCGAAAGGGAAACAGCCCAGACCACCAGCUAAGGUCCCAAAAUAUAUGUUAAGUGGAAAAGGAUGUGGCGUUGCCCAGACAACUAGGAUGUUGGCUUAGAAGCAGCCAUCAUUUAAAGAGUGCGUAAUAGCUCACUAGUCGAGUGACACUGCGCCGAAAAUGUACCGGGGCUAAACAUAUUACCGAAGCUGUGGAUUGUCCGUAGGACAAUGGUAGGAGAGCGUUCUAAGGGCGUCGAAGCAUGAUCGCAAGGACAUGUGGAGCGCUUAGAAGUGAGAAUGCCGGUGUGAGUAGCGAAAGACGGGUGAGAAUCCCGUCCACCGAUUGACUAAGGUUUCCAGAGGAAGGCUCGUCCGCUCUGGGUUAGUCGGGUCCUAAGCUGAGGCCGACAGGCGUAGGCGAUGGAUAACAGGUUGAUAUUCCUGUACCACCUAGUAUCGUUUUAAUCGAUGGGGGGACGCAGUAGGAUAGGCGAAGCGUGCUAUUGGAUUGCACGUCCAAGCAGUAAGACUGAGUGUUAGGCAAAUCCGGCACUCAUAAGGUCAAGCUGUGAUGGGGAGAGGAAAUUGUUUCCUCGAGUCGUUGAUUUCACACUGCCAAGAAAAGCCUCUAGAUAGAUAACAGGUGCCCGUACCGCAAACCGACACAGGUAGUCAAGAUGAGAAUUCUAAGGUGAGCGAGCGAACUCUCGUUAAGGAACUCGGCAAAAUGACCCCGUAACUUCGGGAGAAGGGGUGCUCUUUAGGGUUAACGCCCAGAAGAGCCGCAGUGAAUAGGCCCAAGCGACUGUUUAUCAAAAACACAGGUCUCUGCUAAACCGUAAGGUGAUGUAUAGGGGCUGACGCCUGCCCGGUGCUGGAAGGUUAAGAGGAGUAGUUAGCUUCUGCGAAGCUACGAAUCGAAGCCCCAGUAAACGGCGGCCGUAACUAUAACGGUCCUAAGGUAGCGAAAUUCCUUGUCGGGUAAGUUCCGACCCGCACGAAAGGCGUAACGAUUUGGGCACUGUCUCAACGAGAGACUCGGUGAAAUCAUAGUACCUGUGAAGAUGCAGGUUACCCGCGACAGGACGGAAAGACCCCGUGGAGCUUUACUGUAGCCUGAUAUUGAAAUUCGGCACAGCUUGUACAGGAUAGGUAGGAGCCUUUGAAACGUGAGCGCUAGCUUACGUGGAGGCAUUGGUGGGAUACUACCCUAGCUGUGUUGGCUUUCUAACCCGCACCACUUAUCGUGGUGGGAGACAGUGUCAGGUGGGCAGUUUGACUGGGGCGGUCGCCUCCUAAAAGGUAACGGAGGCGCUCAAAGGUUCCCUCAGAAUGGUUGGAAAUCAUUCAUAGAGUGUAAAGGCAUAAGGGAGCUUGACUGCGAGACUUACAAGUCGAGCAGGGUCGAAAGACGGACUUAGUGAUCCGGUGGUUCCGCAUGGAAGGGCCAUCGCUCAACGGAUAAAAGCUACCCCGGGGAUAACAGGCUUAUCUCCCCCAAGAGUCCACAUCGACGGGGAGGUUUGGCACCUCGAUGUCGGCUCAUCGCAUCCUGGGGCUGUAGUCGGUCCCAAGGGUUGGGCUGUUCGCCCAUUAAAGCGGUACGCGAGCUGGGUUCAGAACGUCGUGAGACAGUUCGGUCCCUAUCCGUCGUGGGCGUAGGAAAUUUGAGAGGAGCUGUCCUUAGUACGAGAGGACCGGGAUGGACAUACCUCUGGUGUACCAGUUGUCGUGCCAACGGCAUAGCUGGGUAGCUAUGUAUGGACGGGAUAAGUGCUGAAAGCAUCUAAGCAUGAAGCCCCCCUCAAGAUGAGAUUUCCCAACUUCGGUUAUAAGAUCCCUCAAAGAUGAUGAGGUUAAUAGGUUCGAGGUGGAAGCGUGGUGACACGUGGAGCUGACGAAUACUAAUCGAUCGAAGACUUAAUCAA